GCUGGUUCACUUCCUGUAGGGACUGAAAACCAAGUGAGGAGAUGAAGGAUUGCACCAUACUACACCAGAGAAUACAGAGUGGAUAGACACUGCAGAUAAAUCCUGAUCAUCACUCAAGGAACAACUGCACAACUGUCAAGACAUCCAGUCCCUUCACAGCAUUGUUCAACACAGAAGGUUUGGCAGUGAAACCAUCAUCUGGAAAUCGGUCGGGUCAGGGGAGCUUUGACAUAUCAUCAGAUUUGAAACUGGUCAGUGGUGCGGAACCUUCUAUCAGAACCAACCUUUCUGAAGGUUCAGCUGUGGGUGAUCGGUCAGGAUGAGGCUGGGAAGAAGUGUGAGUGACUCCAAGUGUGGUGAGAGCUUCAAUCAUUCAUUGAGCCUCAUGAACCACUGACUCAUUCCUACAGGUGAGAGGCUGUUCAAGUGUGAGGUGUGUGAGGAGGGCUCCACAGGCUCAUAAGACCUACGAGCAUGCAAAAUGCAUCUGUGGAACAAACAUAUAUAAGAGAAACCAUUGAAAUGUGAGGUGUGCAAUCUAGAAUUUGUACAGUCAUGUCUUGAAGUAUCAAUGUAUUCACAUAAGUGAGGCACCAUUCACUUAUGAGAUGUGUGACAAAUCAUUCUCAGACUCAUCAACUCUCUGUGAACGCCAAUGCUUUCACUUAGAGGGGAAACCAUUCACAUGUGAGGUAUGCAACAAAUACUUCUCACAGUCCUCGAACCUCCGUAGACACCAACGCAUUCACACAGGAGAGAAACCAUUCACAUGUGAGGUGUGUGACAGAUCAUUCUCCCAGUCAUCGAACCUCCGCGCACACCAACGCAUUCACAGAGGGGACAAACCGUUCACUUGCAAAGUGUGUGACAAAUCAUUCUCGCGCUUAAUGAACCUCCACGUGCACCAGCGCAUUCACACAGGGGAGAAGCUGUUCACGUGCGAACUUUGUAAAAAAGCCUUCACACAGUUAUCGAGCCUCCUGCAACAUCAGACAAUCCACACAGGGAAGAAAGCCUUCAAGUGUGAGGUUUGUGAUAAAGCUUUUGCGAUAUCUACAAGGCUGCUGAUGCACCAGAGAAUUCACACAGGAGAGAAACCAUUCAGGUGUGAGGUUUGUGAGACGUCUUUCACCCAAUUUUGUGAACUCUUGACGCACCAGAGGAUUCACACAGGGGAGAAGCCCUUCAUGUGUAAGGUGUGCAAUAAAUCUUUCUCACAAUUAUCAACCCUCAGCACACACCAACGUAUUCACACAGGGGAGAAACCAUUCACGUGUGAGGUCUGUGACAAAUCAUUCUCGUCAUCAUCAACGCUAUGCAAACAUCGACGUAUUCACACAGGGGAGAAACCAUUCAUGUGUGAAGUGUGCAACAAAUCCUUCUCGCAGUCAUCGAACCUACGGGCACACCAGCGCAUUCACACAGGGGAUAAGCCAUUCACGUGUGAAGUGUGUGACAAAUCGUUCUUGCAUUUAAUGAACCUCCGCAGACACCAACGCAUUCAUACAGGGGAGAAGCCGUUCAUGUGUGAGGUUUGUGACAAAGCCUUCACACAGUUAUCGAGCCUCAUGAAACAUCAGACAAUCCACACAGGGGAGAAAUCCUUCAAGUGUGUGGAUUGCGAUAAAGCUUUCGCAACAUCUACAAGGUUUCUGAUGCAUCAGAGAAUUCACAAAGCAGAGUAACCCUCCAUCUGUGAGGUUUUCAACCCUCCAGUCAGAGGAUUCAACCAGGUUAGAAACUCUUCAGAUGUGAGGUGUAUUACCAGGAUUUCAUCCACUCCUCCAAUCUCCUAAAGCGCCAGCGGAUCCACUGCUUAGAAACCAUUCCAGUGUGAGAUGUGUUACCAGGAUUUCACACCGUCAGUGUAUCUCCUGAUCCAUCAACUCACUAACACAGGGCAAUCAAUGUGAGUUCUAUAAUAAAACCUUCACACAGUUAUUGGACCUCCUGGAACAACAAUGAACCCACAACGGAGACAAACCCUUCCAGUGUGAUGUGUGACAGGAUUGUUUCACCUACUCCUCCUCUCUCGCCAUACACCAACGUCUCCACACAGACUUGGAGCCGGGUCACCUGCUUCCGUUACACUGAGAAUUGUCUGUGUUGUUUCCCCUCCCGUGUUUACACAGGGGAGAUGUUGUUUCAAAGCAUUGUCUGUCUCAGCAGUGCCUGUCUCAAACCUCUCCCACCAUCAGUCCAAUUAUUUCAAUAAGGCCAAUUUAACCUUUGACCAGAUCACUAAACAUCACCAAUGAAGACAUCAAUAUGUAUGGAAGCUCCUAUAUAAACUCAGCAUCCUUUCAGUGCAGCAUCAGGUACAAGUCACUCACUGACUCUCACUCUGACCAAGAAGGAAAUCAGAUAUUCAGUGGUUAGAAAGGCUUCAGCUUCUGAUCUACCAGCACAAGCACCCGGGGGAGGAGCCAUUCCUGGGGUAGUAAUGGAGGGACUUCAAUUAGUCUUAGCAUCUCUGGUCUAUGGAGGGGGAGAAUCAGCCAGGAAUCCCGUUCCUCAUCGGUGAUCCCAGCUGGGAAUUCAGGGGGAGGGCAGGAUGUGUCUCAGCUGUGACAGUCUCCAUUGUCUCACAACAUUCAGUGUCUGGGUCUACACAUGCUGAAUGGCCACUCGAAUAGAGCACUAGAGGCCGAUCAAUGUCCACAGCCUGUACUCUAGGUCAGUACUUUGAGGACUGGAGGGAAUGUGAGAGGACAACAGCUUGUAUUUAUAGAGCACUUUAGUAUAGUCAAAUAUCCCAAAAUGUUUCAUAGAGACGUAAUCAGAGAAAAAAUAACACCGAGACAAAGAAAGAGAUAUUAGGAAGGGAUGACCAAAAUUAGGGAAUAGUUUCUCACCAACUACUCAAUCAACUCGUUUAAUCAUCUUAAACACCUCAAUUAAAUAACUCCUUAAUUUUCUGCAUUCAAUGGACUAAAAGCUCAGUCUGUACAACCUGUCCUCAUAAUUUAACUCUUUUAGCCCCAGGAACAUCCUAGUGAAUCUUCACUGCACUUCGUCCAAGGCCAAUGUAUCGUUCCUGAGAUGUGGUGCCCAGAACUGAACACAGUUCUCCAGGUAGGGUCUAAACAGAGCUCUGUACAGCUGGAACAUAACUUCCACAAGGACACAGUUGGUUCUGGGGAAGAGAAGUUGUGGGUUAUCUUUUCUCUUCAGGAUGGUCCUGGAGUAAUGAGCAGUUUUGGCUUGAUGUUGUCCAGUCAGAUCUGGCGAUGGAUGGUUAAACCAGUUGUGUACCAGAUAUGCUCAAAUCUUCACCCAUUGGACUUGAAAAGCAGGACAUGGACCAGGAAGGAAAAGAGUAAAAGUAAUUUUGGGAAUAAGGGUGUAGAAGGUGGAUAUGAGGAAGUGGUUAAAUCAGAUUGACGAUGCCAGAAGCAUUGUGUUGAAUGGAGUGCCAAAGGUCAGAGAGUUGGGAAUUAGAAAGCGCUGUCUAACUCACCUGGGGGAAGAGUGUCUCCCAGGAAUGGAAACUGAUUGGUCCAUAGACCCAUGUGACCAUUGAAUCUCUGUAACCAUUGGUGGGUUUGUAUAAUGGAAACGAGUUCUAUCCUGUGCCACUAAAGUUCGGUGUCUUUUCUGAUCAUCGGAAUUGGGAGCCAGACUAAAGCACAGGAUUUUAAUGAAACUUCUGUCUGUCGUAUUCUGAGAGAGUUUCCCCUGAUUUGAUCGUGUGUGUCAGUAAAGUGAGCCAGCUCUCAGGAGUGGGUAUGGGGUAGAAUUGGACCCUGCUUUAGUUGGUGAUGUGAAUUAUAGACAGAUCCUCUUCAGGUGACGGGUGUUUUACUAAUACCAUACGUAAUGUUUGUAUUCUCCUGUCUGGGAGGACUACUAUCCUGAGUAUGGUGAGGGAGUUGGGGUGAGUCUCUUCGGACCUGAGUUCCCUCAACCCAUUAUACCUCAAUGUAAUAACGGGGUGAUAUGUUCACCUUACACUCUUCCAAGAUUCAUUUCAUGUUCUGGGAAAGAUCUUGUGUCAUUUCCAAAUGCUUUAAUAUUUCAGUUGAUUCAAAGUUUGGUGUGAGCUGAAUAGUGUUUUUUUUUUGUCUGCUGUUUUAUCAAGCUUCAGUAUGGAUUUAUAACUCACAAUAAAUUAUUUUUUUUAGCUGAACCCAACUACCUGAUUUGUCACCAUGGUGUGUUCAUAUUCACUGAAAUACUCAGGAAUCUACAGUAAGAGUCCUGUACACAAUAUAUGGUCAAUGUCACUGGGCUAGUACACUUUCUCCAUCAAUGGGUUUAUAAUUUUCAGUUCGCAGGAAGCAUGAUGUUUCCCCAUGAAAGAAAGUGUUGCAUUUACAUAUCAACUUUCACAGAUUCAAGGCAUACCAAAGCACUUUACAGCCAAUGAAAUGCUUUUUGAAGUGUAGUCGCUGUUGUAAUGAAGGAAACAUGGCAGCCAAUUUGCGCACAGCAAGCUCCCACAACCAGCAAUGUGAUAAUGAUCAGAUAAUCUGUUUUAGUGACAUUGAUCAUGGGGUCCAUAUUGACCAGGACACCAGGGAUAACUCCCCUACUCUUCUUUAACUUAGUGUCAUGGCAUCUUUUACUUUCACCUGAGAGGGCAGAUGGCCCUUGGUUUAAUUUAUCUGUAAGAUGGUAAGUCUGACAGUGUAGCGCUCCCUCAGUACUGCGCUGGAGUGUCAGCCUCAGUACUCAAAUGUCUGGAAUGAGACUUGAACCCAGACCUUCUGACUCAGAGACAAGAGUGCUAGCUAAGCCACAGCUGACAAUUUAUAUUUCUGUUGUAUUAGAUUCAGUUUCUAAGGGGUUAGGUCCCAAGGCUGUGUACAGAAUGCUUUUCCCCCUGUAAACUGGCAGCCUGAAAGUUUGAUUUGAUUUAAAGUGGUAACUAGUUAGAGCUGCAGGUGUCAGUGUUGUCUUUGUGUCUGGGUUCCUGAAGCUGUGAAUGGUGGUAAAGUCCCUGGUGUCAGCUGGAAUGGACAUCUUAAGGGAUUGUCUUCAAUCAGUACUGCUGAUUAACCAUUCUGCUUUCAUUCACUCAUGAAAGUUCUAUUGUUAGGCACAGUUAUAAAUGUCUGUCAGGAAUAAAACUUGAGGAAUAACCCACUCUUCCCAGGAAAACUCAGUGUUAGUUUUUGAGCUUGUUUUCAAAUCCCUCCAUGGCCUCUCCCCUCCCUAUCUCUGUAACCUCUUCCAACCCUCAGUACUGCACUGGAGUGUCAGCCAUGAUUUUUUGUGCCCAAAUCCUGGAGUGGGACUUGAAUCCACAAUCCUCUGACUCAGAGAACAAGGUUGUGGGUUCAAGUCCAACUCCAGAUGGAUUAUUCCAUUAACGUGGAUUAAAGUUGUUGUCAGGGCCACACGAAUAAUUCCUCAGGCUCCGGGCUCCCUGUACAAACCACACCCACCAUUUAUUGAAACACAAACUUGUAAAAUGAAUGACGAAAUUAUCCUGUAGAUCUUUACACACUGCAUUGAUCAUGAAGCCAAUCAGAUCACAAUUAAAUAAAAUUGCUUUGGUCACACACAAUUUUUAAAAUGUUUGCUUGAGUAAAACUCCUUUGUAAAUAUACAUCAACUACAAGGACACAAGUUGUUGCCAGGAGUUUCUGCUAUUUUGUGUUGCUUUUAUCUGUGUACUCUGACUGAAAUUGACCAUAUCAGGAAUUUUAAAUGUAAGUUAUGUCAAGUUUAAAUUGAAUUUUAACUCUGGUUUAUUAAACAUCACCCAGGAAGUUGGUACCAACCACAGAAAUGACCACGGCCCCAGAUGGGAAUAAUGAGAGUGGUGAGUUUCUGCCAAUUGCGUCUGUUUGAGGCGGCUCUUCAAAUUACACUCAGAGUUUUUGGGCGUUCAGGCACCAAUAGUCAGUCAUGUUCAUGACUCCAGUCUACAUGUUGUGGUCAGCAAUUAUUUCAGCAAACUACAGAGCCAAAUAAAAUCCCCUUCAUUCACAGGAUGGUGUUUCUCUUCUUAAGGAUGACAACGCCAUUCAUUAACGCUGGAAAGAACACUUUGAAUAAUUCCUCAACCGAAUCUACAGUAGUAGCUGAUACCCUCCAGUCUAUUCCCCAGUGCCUGUGGUAGAAUCCAUGGGAAUAGGAAGAGGAGAGAAUGGGCAGAGUGGGUGGGCUCUCUGAUUGACGUCUCUCACAGCCAAUCCAAAUAUUUCUGGAGUAACAUGAGUUUCCUCAAGCUUGGGGAACUGACCAGUGAAACGGAAGCGACUUUGAGCAGCAGAACAGGUGGGGAUUUAAACCUGUCAUUGUCCCAUCUGAAUAAAACCUCACUUAUUGCAGCCCAGCUGUCUCAGUUUGACAGAAAUGUGGUGGAAUCCCUGUGGUAGAAUCCAUGGGUGAGUCACCAUUGAUGGGAGAGCUGCAACAAACAAUCAAACAGAUGAAAAACAGCAUAGCCUGUGGUCCCAAAUGUAUUCCAGUUGAGGCCUUCAAAGCUGGUGGAUUUCUGCUCACAUCAAGGCUCCAUGAACUCAUCCAAUGGAUUUGGAGAAAAAAGAACUCCCUCCGACCUCAGGAAUGUGACAGUUGUAAAUAUCUUCCAGGAGGGAGAUAAAUCACGCUGUGGAAACUAUUGAGGUAUUUCCCUCUUGUCCAGAGCAGGGAAAGUCCUGACACACAUUCUCCUGAAUCACCUACUUCCUGUGGCUGAGGAAACCCUCCCAGAGACACAGUGACAUCCCCUCCUCAUGUCUCCUUCUUCGUGUCAGUGUUAAUUUUUAUCUGAUUAUGUCUGUAUGAAACACUUUGAGAUGUUUUACUAUAUUAAAGGCGCUGUAUAAAUGCAA
RNA transcript from Carcharodon carcharias (great white shark), 6788 nucleotides. It is a transcript of the gene named zinc finger protein 239-like, with no coding region annotated. The transcript has 3 exons. Lineage: Eukaryota; Metazoa; Chordata; Chondrichthyes; Lamniformes; Lamnidae. The record is from RefSeq and is a predicted model, not a curated record.